CCGUAUUGAUGAUUCCAUCUGAUGUUUCUUACGACACAGAGUGAAUGUUUCGAAAAAUUUUCUUGAAAUUAAAAUAAAAAAAUUGUUGGUAGCAAAAGAUUGUGGUCCAACCAUGUUGGUGGGCUGGCAACGGCAGUUCACUCCGGUACGCUAUCCCACUACUGCCUACCACGGGAACUCUUGGCUGCUGGUUUUCACCCCUGGCCCGGUUCAUCCCUCCUUAGCCAACCUGAAUGCCGCGGACUCCUCCAUGGCACCCAUAUUGAUGGCAAGCUUAGUGCGGACGUUCCGUCAACAUGAGCUGGUCCGCUACACAGUGAUUCCCAGCCUCAGGCCAUUCCACAACCCGACCUCACAGAAGCGUGAUUACAGAAGAUGCCAACCUUCC
Molecule: long non-coding RNA, 388 nt
Filed under: Drosophila guanche
Lineage: Eukaryota; Metazoa; Arthropoda; Insecta; Diptera; Drosophilidae
Source: RNAcentral